ACUGGAUGUUGUGGCCCACGCCUGUAAUCCCAGCAGCUCAGGAGGUUGAGGCAGGAGGGUCAUGAGUUCAAAGCCAACCUCAGUAAAAAGCAAGGUGCUAAGCAACUCAUGAGACUCUGUCUCUA
This 125-nucleotide small RNA is filed under the name Marmota monax (woodchuck). Lineage: Eukaryota; Metazoa; Chordata; Mammalia; Rodentia; Sciuridae. The record is from RNAcentral.